AGAGGUGGCAAGCGUUGUUCGGAAUUACUGGGCGUAAAGGGCGCGUAGGCGGUCUUGCAAGUCCCGUGUGAAAUCCCUCGGCUCAACUGAGGAACGGCACGGGAAACUGCUUGGCUUGAGUUCGGGAGAGGGAAGCGGAAUUCCGGGUGUAGCGGUGAAAUGCGUAGAUAUCCGGAGGAACACCGGUGGCGAAGGCGGCUUCCUGGACCGACACUGACGCUGAGGCGCGAAAGCUAGGGGAGCAAACGGGAUUAGAUACCCCGGUAGUCCUAGCUGUAAACGAUGAGUGCUGGGUGUAGAGGGUAUUAACCCCUUCUGUGCCGAAGCUAACGCAUUAAGCACUCCGCCUGGGGAGUACGGUCGCAAGGCUG
This 371-nucleotide ribosomal RNA is filed under the name uncultured bacterium. RNAcentral's name for it is "bacterial SSU rRNA". It matches the Rfam family "Bacterial small subunit ribosomal RNA", at positions 527 to 896 of the family's 1533-position model. The record is from RNAcentral.